GGCUGGUCUGCGUGCAGUGGUGUUUACAACUUAUUGAUCACAACCAGUUAAAGAUUCCUUUGUUCCUUCUCUACUCCCACUGCUUCACUUGACUAGUCUAAA
This 102-nucleotide Y RNA is filed under the name Propithecus coquereli (Coquerel's sifaka). RNAcentral describes it as "Y RNA (ENSPCOG00000003321.1)". It matches the Rfam family "Y RNA". From Rfam's summary of the family: Y RNAs are components of the Ro ribonucleoprotein particle (Ro RNP), in association with Ro60 and La proteins. The Y RNAs and Ro60 and La proteins are well conserved, but the function of the Ro RNP is not known. In humans the RNA component can be one of four small RNAs -- hY1, hY3, hY4 and hY5. Lineage: Eukaryota; Metazoa; Chordata; Mammalia; Primates; Indriidae. The record is from Rfam by way of RNAcentral.